UCAGUCGGCCGGACGGCCGUCCCGGCGCGCGCCGAAAGGCUGCCGGGGAGGAAAGUCCGGGCUCCAUGGACAUGCGGUGCCGGAUAAGGUCCGGCGGGGGCGACCCCAGGGAUAGUGCCACAGAAAACAAACCGCCUGUCCGCGCCGGUCUUGCACAGAGAAGGGCCGCGGGCAGGUAAGGGUGAAACGGUGCGGUAAGAGCGCACCGCGGUUCCGGCGACGGAAACGGCACGGCAAACCCCACCGGGAGCAAAACCGAAUAGGGACGGCGCGGGAGCCGCGAGGUUCCCGGACCGAUGUCCGGGUCCAGCCGUCCGGGUGGGUUGCUCGAGACGCCGGGCGACCGGCGUCCCAGAGGAAUGGCCGUCGCGCGCGGGGCUUUGCUCCGCGCCCUACAGAACCCGGCUUACAGGCCGGCUGAUCGA
This 425-nucleotide RNase P RNA is filed under the name Bradyrhizobiaceae bacterium. RNAcentral describes it as "RNase P RNA component class A". It matches the Rfam family "Bacterial RNase P class A". From Rfam's summary of the family: Ribonuclease P (RNase P) is a ubiquitous endoribonuclease, found in archaea, bacteria and eukarya as well as chloroplasts and mitochondria. The record is from RNAcentral. Lineage: Bacteria; Pseudomonadati; Pseudomonadota; Alphaproteobacteria; Hyphomicrobiales; Nitrobacteraceae.